GGCACCCACCUGGACAGCGGCCUCCGGUCAGCCUCACUCUGACGCAACCCCCCUCUCACUGGACAGCAUCACCUGGGCACAGAGCCUCACCUAGUCUGUGUCCCGUGGACCCAGCUUUGCUUUGGACAGUGACACCAAGAAUACUCACCCCUUUACUUAGCCAGACCACAGGCAGCCACCUGGACACAAACAUCUCUCCAGAGUCACCCUCCACGCAGACUCCACAGCAGAACUCCCAGGGAGGCACUGGGGCAUGGCUUCGGAACACCAGGCAGCCCUCCGCGGUGCCCAGCACCGGCUCAGCCAGGGCAGCCUGCAGCGGAGCCUGGAGCCAGCAGCUUCUCAUCUCUUGGCCUCGGGAAAUGUAGCUGGAGUCAUCAUUUAGCAGAGCACAGUGUCCCUGGGUUGGUCACCCAGCUUAGUUUUAAAAUAAAAUAAUGUAAUCUUGGUCUAAUGGUGGAA
RNAcentral lists this small RNA (462 nucleotides) under Pongo abelii (Sumatran orangutan). RNAcentral describes it as "processed transcript". The record is from RNAcentral. Lineage: Eukaryota; Metazoa; Chordata; Mammalia; Primates; Hominidae.